Long non-coding RNA from Gallus gallus (chicken), 2048 nucleotides. The record is from Ensembl. Lineage: Eukaryota; Metazoa; Chordata; Aves; Galliformes; Phasianidae.
AAAACUCUAUGAAGAGAGUAGAGUCCAUCUCCUCAGUAAGACAGAAAUGCAUUUGUCCACCCUCGAAUGCAUGGAUAAGGAACAUAAUAAGCAUUGCAUAACAUUUUACCAAGUGUUAUCUGGAAAUCCAGGAUGGAAACUUGUUGGAAGAUAACAAGAGUGAAUAGGCUGCAGCGUGGAUAUCAGAUGUGGUCCUCCACUGCCUGCAGAGGAAUCCUGACCCAGUGCCUAGAGUACCUCUCUGUCUUUCUUCUCUGACCUUGGUUUCUGCAGAAUUGUUGCAGGAGAAGAAGUUAGAAGAGUCAUGAUGAGAGAGUGAAGUCGAGCCUAGGAAAAAGAGAGCAAGCUGACUUCAUUAAAAGGAAGAAUUCAGAACUAUUGUUCCUGCAGGAGCAACGAGAGGAACAAUAUGUCAAAAAGUAAGUCCAGCAGACCAUGCAGAAGUUUGGGACCUGGAAAAUGUAGCGUAUGAGAGGCAAAGACAAUCGUGUGGUCUAGGCAGAAGAACAGAAGUCAAAGGCAAAUUUUAUUUGCAGUUUUUCAGUUUUUAAAUGGGAUACACAGCAAAGCCAGAAUGAGAACACUCCUAGAAAUGCACAGAGGAAAGGCAAAAGGCUAUAGUCAGAGCUUCAAGAAUGAGAAAAGAAGUUUCUCCAUAAAAAUGGUUAGACACAGGAGCAGGUUGUACAGACAGACUGCACUAUCCCAGUCCUUAGAGAUAAGUCACAACUCAGAUAGACAAAACCCUCAGCAGCUCAAUUUAACUUAGAAGUUUGUAAUCUCCCUGGGGUCCUUUUCAGGAGGCCAGAAUUGAUGACUUCAGGGUAUGAAGGGAUACCCCCCUUUUUUUUUAAUUUAUUGUUUGUUUGUUUUUGUGAUUCUAUUACCCAAAUGCAUUCUAUACAAACAGUAAUUCCUGUCACUGUCAGUGAACACUCAUACCAUGUAAAUAUACUAUUCUCCUCUAUCAUGCUAUUAGUAUAGCACUGAUGUUGUCAAAGAUGAGGUAAAGAGGAUUUAUCUGCAAGGAUUUAAUUUUCAUUGCUUUUCAUUAAAUUCAGUGUAUUUUCUCAUUCUCUGUAGUUAUGAAAAUGUACCCUGGAAUUACCUGGUAUGAUAACUCAAAAUGCCCUGUUCUAAACAUAUGUCACUAAACACUUCAGUUGUGAUACAGUAUUUCUUGGAAAGGAGACAUAUAAGUUCACCAUUUAAACUGACUAACUUCUCUAUACUACAGUCCUUGUACUUUAUGUUGAUGUGCCAUUUAUGUAAGAGAUAAACAAGUUCUGACUAUUUAGAUCAAUUAAGUCUCCAGUAACUUCCUGUUUGGCUCACAAGUAGAUCCAGAAGCCUAACUUUAGAAGACUUGCCACUUUUGUCUUUAAAUUCAAUCAAGGUCUUUACUGAAAAUAAUGUGCAUAAAAAGCACAGACAUGCAGAACUAGUGAAGUGUCAAAGUCUCUGGAACAAUAAUGUGAUUAAAGUUUUUGCUGAAUUAAGCUAACAUCCUAAUCCUUACACCUUAGCUAAGACUCUAGAUCUGUAAAUCUCAGUUCUAACAGUUUAAAAUGCCAUUUCCACUACUCACACAAGUAAACCAAAGCAGGAAGGAAAGUGAUUCUGCACUUCAUGCAAAAUUCUUAGAUCUUGUUGAUGCUAGCAAUCACUGCAGUGGAACAGUUAAUUAAUGGCAUAUAUUACUAAGUGUAUUCACAGACUGAUGCUAUAAAAAUUAUUUCUGGUUAAAACAGUACAUACUACAAAAUAUUUAUCAUAUUCAGCAAUCUAUUUUAACACCAGUAUUUCAGAUAUUAGGCCCCUAAAACCAUGGUUAUAUUUUGAAGAGCCUGAAAUUAUGCAAACUUAAAUUUACUAAAUAAGAGUAACUAGUUAACCUGGGUUUUUCCACUACAAUUGUCUCAAAUAAGAGAAUUGCCAUAGUUUGUUCUUACUAUAUAAGGACCGCAUAUCUUGUCUUUAUUAAUAAUAGUAAUGAAUAGAGAGAAAAAAAUGAAAAAGAGAAAGAAAGCAAGGAGAGAAAAAGAAAU